Molecule: long non-coding RNA, 3077 nt
Organism: Loxodonta africana (African savanna elephant)
Lineage: Eukaryota; Metazoa; Chordata; Mammalia; Proboscidea; Elephantidae
Exons: 3
Source: RefSeq, a predicted model, not a curated record
GGCUUGACAUCUGACAUCUUAACACCAGUUCCUGUUUCUUGAGGAAGGAAGAGGUAAAAUAAAUCAGCGUUUACUGUGUCCUUCUCCAUCCCCGGAAGUCCUUGUGAAGACCCUCUCAGAAUGACUAGACCUCCUGCAGAAUGACUAUAUUGUGCCUCCCUUGGGCACCCCUGUCUGCGCAGCACCCUCCGCCCCCAACUGCCCAACCGCCUCUCUCCUGGCAUUCUGCUUCUAGAAGUAUGUUCUUUUGAUGCAGAGAUGCAACACACACAGAAAUCCCAGCUGGAUUACAGACUUGAACCCGAAGACCUUAUGCAGAAUGACUAUUUAUGAACCACUAAACUCAGUACUAAAGCAGCUUCAACUUGAACGUGAAUAUGAGCAACUGAUCGUCUGUUCUGCAGUCAGCCCCUGGCCUGAUUCUGACUCAUGAUAUUGACCUUCUCCAUCAUCACCUUCCACAAAUUUGAUUCCUGUCUAUUCUGCCUGGAAUGGUUCAUAAGUAUAGUCACCGUUUAUGUUCCUGAUGAAAGGUAUGUGCAAUGAAUAAGUCACUGGUCUUGCCAAAUUCUAUCAUGUAAGCUUCAUUGUCAUUUCUAUCAUCAAUACCUUAUUUUCCAACUGCUGAUUUGUCUGCUUUGUUUUCAACUUCGCAUUCUAAAUGAUUGAUCAAUGCAUCACGUUUGAUCAGUUUCAAACUGUAUAACUUGGUAAAAACCUUCAACUUGUUCAUCUUUCACAUUCAUGAUUUGUGUGUAAAUUUGAAUAAUAGUCUUAUUAACUGGUCGUCCUGGUAGGCCUGUGGAUAUUAUCCUAUUGCUUGUAGUGUUGUACUUCAGAAAAGAUCUUGAUAUGUUCUUUUUAUCGAUGAAUAUGAUGCCGUUCUCUUUAGUAUCUCAAUCCUGGCAUAGUAGAACAUAUCAUUGUCUAGUUUAAAAUGUCCAAAACCAAGCUAUUUCAGCUCACUAAUGCCUUGGAUUACUGACCUUUAUGCAUUCCAUUUCAUUUUUGAUGACUUCCAAUUUCCCUAGAUUCAUACUUCCUUCAUUCCACAUUCUGAUUAUUAAAGGAUAUUUGCAUCAGUUUCUUCUCAUUAUGAGUUAUGCCCCAUCAGGAAAUGUCAUUAAAGUGGGAUCUACUUUGAGGAGGUAGCUCUUCCCCACUCGUAUUUUGAGUGCCUUCCAACCUAAGGGGUUAUCCUCUGUCAUUCAAUCAGACAGUGUUCCAGUGCUAUUUGUAAGAUUUCACUGGCCAGUUUUUUUUAGAAAUAGAUCACUAGGUCCUUUUUCCUAGUCUGUCUAAAUCCAGAGCUCCACUCAAAGCUGUCUACCAUGGGUGAACCUGGUGGUAUUUGAAAUACCGGUGGCAUAGCUUCUAACAUCACAGCAACAUGCAAGCCACCACACUACAACAAACUGACAGAAGAGUGGUGGGAGUUAAAAAUGAGAAGAACCAAAAAGAGUGCUUCUUCCAUGUCUGCUGAUUUAGAGGAACCAUGAAAAAUUGUCAAGUGAAGAGUGAUUCAGAGAAAAACAUGGGUAGAGUGUGACCUAAUUUCCAUAAAAACAAACAAAUGAAUGUCCUUACGUGUGUCCCGGCAAAAAGCAGUGUGUAAAAGGGUACAUGUGUAUCUUUGGACACUGGACACUUCAGGGGAGCUGGUACAAUAUACUUAUGUGGGGAUGGCUCUUAUUAUAACUUCUGUAUACAAAUCUCUAUUGUUAAAUGUGUUAUAAGAAUGUAAAACCUUUUAAAGUUAAUAACAUCAUACGUGUAUGUGUGUGUAUUUGAAACUUUUUUUCUGUUUUGACUAUUUUAUAUAUGUGUUUUUUAGUUAUCUAGUGUGGCUAUAGCAGAGAUACCACAAGUGGAUGGCUUUAACAAACAGAAGCUUAUUCUCUCACAGUUUAAGAAGCAAGAAGUUUGAAGUCAGGGCACCAGCUCUAGGAGAAAGCUUUCUCUGUUUGUGGCUCUGGGGGAAGGCCCUUGUCAUCUAUCUUCCCCUGGCCUAGGAAAUUCUCAGCGUGUGGACACUGGGUCAAAAAGACGUGCUCCACUCCAGGCACUUCUUCCUUGGUGGUAUGAGGUCCCUCUCAUUUCUGCUCACUUUUCUCUUUGUAUGUCAAAAGAGACUGACUCAAGACUCACCCUAAUCCUGUAGAUUGUGUCCUCCCUCAUUAACCUAACUGCCUCUAAUCCUGCCUCAUUAACAUCACAGAGGUUGGAAUUUACAACACAUAAGUAAUCACAUCAGAUCACAAAAUGCAGGACAACCACACAAUACUGGGAAUCAGGGUCUGGCCAGGUUGACACAUAUUUUGGGGGACACUAUUCAAUCCAUAACAAUAGAGAAAACACUGUCUUCAAUGCCAGAUUCAGAGACUUUUAUCCAUCUGUGAAGGGCAAACACAGAAAUUGAACAAAAUUCAGACCAGCGAAUUAUUGCUUGCUCUUGUAACUAAUGACUUCUUCUGGUCUCUAUGCCUGGAAAUGGCCAAAAAGAAUUCUGUGAGGAUUAAUUCAGUUAUUGCUCAAACAUCUACUGCAUUUACAUGUCUACAGAUAAGGAAGAAUGCUGGACACCAUGUGUGAUUCAUUAAGUAACACGGGGACCAUUAGACUAUUGUUCUCCUUCUCUGAUAUGCCACUAUCACCUUCUCCCCUUGUUGCUCUCCUGAAAAACCCACGCUUGUAUAUUCUAGGCUUUUAUCCAGGAUUGAAUUUGCAAGAAGUUAAAGAUAUAUCUUUGAAAGAUAAAGAAGACUUUGGCCACAUUGUCUUUAGACAGUUGAACUUCCCAGCCAACCUCUGUGCAGGAUGGGAAUUCACAAUCCCUCCUACUCAGUACCUCUGAGCAGGACGGGAUUUCUGUUUCAUUGUCAGGAGAAGGCGGAAUUCAGCCUUCUUCAGAAAACUUACUUUCCUUUGCCUCAAACUGUCCCUCUCAGGAUCUGUCACGGUCACUCUGAGAAAUUCACAUGGGCAGCCUGUAUGGAAGUGCCCAUCCUAGAGGCCCUGCCCUCCCUUCCUUGCUCCACAGGGCUUCCUCUGACACUUGGGGUCACAUCUCCCAGGGA